AGUGAACGCUGGCGGUAGGCCUAACACAUGCAAGUCGAACGGCAGCACAGUAAGAGCUUGCUCUUACUGUUGGCGAGUGGCGGACGGGUGAGGAAUACAUCGGAAUCUACUUUUUCGUGGGGGAUAACGUAGGGAAACUUACGCUAAUACCGCAUACGACCUACGUGUGAAAGCAGGGGAUCUUCGUACCUUGCGCGAUUGAAUGAGCCGAUGUCGGAUUAGCUAGUUGGGGGGGUAAAGGCCCACCAAGGCGACGAUCCGUAGCUGGUCUGAGAGGAUGAUCAGCCACACUGGAACUGAGCCACGGUCCAGACUCCUACGGGAGGCAGCAGUGGGGAAUAUUGGACAAUGGGCGCAAGCCUGAUCCAGCCAUACCGCGUGGGUGAAGAAGGCCUUCGGGUUGUAAAGCCCUUUUGUUGGGAAAGAAAAGCAGCAGGUUAAUACCACGCUGUUCUGACGGUACCCAAAGAAUAAGCACCGGCUAACUUCGUG
Molecule: ribosomal RNA, 492 nt
Filed under: uncultured bacterium
Lineage: Bacteria
Description: partial 16S ribosomal RNA
Rfam family: Bacterial small subunit ribosomal RNA
Source: RNAcentral